AGAGCGAACGCUGGCGGCAGGCCUAAUACAUGCAAGUCGAACGCACCUUCGGGUGAGUGGCGGACGGGUGAGUAACACGUAGGAACGUGCCUUUUGGUUCGGAAUAAUCCGGGGAAACCUGGCCUAAUACCGGAUGUGCCCUUCGGGGGAAAGAUUUAUCGCCAUUAGAGCGGCCCGCGUCUGAUUAGCUAGUUGGUGAGGUAACGGCCCACCAAGGCGACGAUCAGUAGCUGGUCUGAGAGGAUGAUCAGCCACACUGGGACUGAGACACGGUCCGGACUCCUACGGGAGGCAGCAGUGGGGAAUAUUGGACAAUGGGGGAAACCCUGAUCCAGCGACGCCGCGUGUGUGAAGAAGGCCUGCGGGUUGUAAAGCACUUUUAGUGGGGACAAAAGCUACGGACUAAUAUUCUGUGGUCUUGAUUUAACCCAAAGAAAACGCACCGGCUAACUCUGCGCCAGCAGCCGC
Molecule: ribosomal RNA, 468 nt
Filed under: uncultured bacterium
Lineage: Bacteria
Description: SSU rRNA
Rfam family: Bacterial small subunit ribosomal RNA
Source: RNAcentral